RNAcentral lists this ribosomal RNA (545 nucleotides) under Fusarium oxysporum f. sp. ciceris. RNAcentral's name for it is "eukaryotic LSU rRNA". The stretch from base 178 to 331 matches the Rfam family "5.8S ribosomal RNA". The record is from RNAcentral. Lineage: Eukaryota; Fungi; Ascomycota; Sordariomycetes; Hypocreales; Nectriaceae.
CGUAAGGGGUACCUGCGGAGGGAUCAUUACCGAGUUUACAACUCCCAAACCCCUGUGAACAUACCACUUGUUGCCUCGGCGGAUCAGCCCGCUCCCGGUAAAACGGGACGGCCCGCCAGAGGACCCCUAAACUCUGUUUCUAUAUGUAACUUCUGAGUAAAACUAUAAAUAAAUCAAAACUUUCAACAACGGAUCUCUUGGUUCUGGCAUCGAUGAAGAACGCAGCAAAAUGCGAUAAGUAAUGUGAAUUGCAGAAUUCAGUGAAUCAUCGAAUCUUUGAACGCACAUUGCGCCCGCCAGUAUUCUGGCGGGCAUGCCUGUUCGAGCGUCAUUUCAACCCUCAAGCACAGCUUGGUGUUGGGACUCGCGUUAAUUCGCGUUCCCCAAAUUGAUUGGCGGUCACGUCGAGCUUCCAUAGCGUAGUAGUAAAACCCUCGUUACUGGUAAUCGUCGCGGCCACGCCGUUAAACCCCAACUUCUGAAUGUUGACCUCGGAUCAGGUAGGAAUACCCGCUGAACUUAAGCAUAUCAAAAGCGGAAGGAAA